Molecule: ribosomal RNA, 253 nt
Filed under: uncultured bacterium
Lineage: Bacteria
Description: partial 16S ribosomal RNA
Rfam family: Bacterial small subunit ribosomal RNA
Source: RNAcentral
UACAGAGGGGGCAAGCGUUGUCCGGAAUUACUGGGCGUAAAGGGCGCGUAGGCGGCUUUCUAAGUCGAACGUGAAAUCCCCGGGCUCAACCCGGGAACUGCGUCCGAUACUGGAAGGCUUGAAUCCGGGAGAGGGAUGCGGAAUUCCAGGUGUAGCGGUGAAAUGCGUAGAUAUCUGGAGGAACACCGGUGGCGAAGGCGGCAUCCUGGACCGGCAUUGACGCUGAGGCGCGAAAGCCAGGGGAGCAAACAGG